Molecule: long non-coding RNA, 1318 nt
Organism: Oncorhynchus keta (chum salmon)
Lineage: Eukaryota; Metazoa; Chordata; Actinopteri; Salmoniformes; Salmonidae
Exons: 3
Source: RefSeq, a predicted model, not a curated record
ACCAAACAUCCCCAAAUGGAAACAUUUUAUAGGUCUACAUUUGCAUGCAGGCCAGGUAGACUAGUCCUACUUCUAUAUGGUAAUCAGGCCAGGUAGACUAGUCCUACUUCUAUAUGGUAAUCAGGCCAGGUAGACUAGUCCUACUUCUAUAUGGUAAUCAGGCCAGGUAGACUAGUCCUACUUCUAUAUGGUAAUCAGGCCAGGUAGACUAGUCCUACUUCUAUAUGGUAAUCAGGCCAGGUAGACUAGUCCUACUUCUAUAUGGUAAUCAGGCCAGGUAGACUAGUCCUACUUCUAUAUGGUAAUCAGGCCAGGUAGACUAGUCCUACUUCUAUAUGGUAAUCAGGCCAGGUAGACUAGUCCUACUUCUAUAUGGUAAUCAGGCCAGGUAGACUAGUCCUACUUCUAUAUGGUAAUCAGGCCAGGUAGACUAGUCCUACUUCUAUAUGGUAAUCAGGCCAGGUAGACUAGUCCUACUUCUAUAUGGUAAUCAGGCCAGGUAGACUAGUCCUACUUCUAUAUGGUAAUCAGGCCAGGUAGACUAGUCCUACUUCUAUAUGGUAAUCAGGCCAGGUAGACUAGUCCUACUUCUAUAUGGUAAUCAGGCCAGGUAGACUAGUCCUACUUCUAUAUGGUAAUCAGGCCAGGUAGACUAGUCCUACUUCUAUAUGGUAAUCAGGCCAGGUAGACUAGUCCUACUUCUAUAUGGUAAUCAGGCCAGGUAGACUAGUCCUACUUCUAUAUGGUAAUCAGGCCAGGUAGACUAGUCCUACUUCUAUAUGGUAAUCAGGCCAGGUAGACUAGUCCUACUUCUAUAUGGUAAUCAGGCCAGGUAGACUAGUCCUACUUCUAUAUGGUAAUCAGGCCAGGUAGACUAGUCCUACUUCUAUAUGGUAAUCAGGCCAGGUAGACUAGUCCUACUUCUAUAUGGUAAUCAGGCCAGGUAGACUAGUCCUACUUCUAUAUGGUAAUCAGGCCAGGUAGACUAGUCCUACUUCUAUAUGGUAAUCAGGCCAGGUAGACUAGUCCUACUUCUAUAUGGUAAUCAGGCCAGGUAGACUAGUCCUACUUCUAUAUGGUAAUCAGGCCAGGUAGACUAGUCCUACUUCUAUAUGGUAAUCAGGCCAGGUAGACUAGUCCUACUUCUAUAUGGUAAUCAGGCCAGGUAGACUAGUCCUACUUCUAUAUGGUAAUCAGGCCAGGUAGACUAGUCCUACUUCUAUAUGGUAAUCAGGCCAGGUAGACUAGUCCUACUUCUAUAUGGUAAUCAGGCCAGGUAGACUAGUCCUACUUCUAUAUGGUAAUCAGGCCAGGUAGA